CCUACGGGCGGCAGCAGUGGGGAAUAUUGCACAAUGGGGGAAACCCUGAUGCAGCGACGCCGCGUGAGGGAGGAAGGAUUUCGGGAUGUAAAGCUCUAUCAGCAGGGACGAAAAAAGACGGAACCGGACGAAGAAGCGCGGGCUAACUACGUGCCAGCAGCCGCGGUAAGACGUAGGGGGCAAGCGUUAGCCGGAUUUACUGGGUGUAAAGGGAGUGUAGAGGGCAAGGCCAGCCAGAAGUGAAAGGGCAGGGCUCCACCCUGUACAUGCGUUUGGAACUGUGGUGCUAGAGUGCAGGAGAGGUAAGUGGAAUUCCUAGUGUAGCGGUGAAAUGCGUAGAUAUUAGGCGGAACUCCAGUGGCGAAGGCGGCCUGCUGGACGACAACUGACGGUGAGGCGCGAAAGCGUGGGUAGCAAACAGGAUUAGAUACCCCUGUAGUC
This 441-nucleotide ribosomal RNA is filed under the name uncultured bacterium. Its description in RNAcentral is "partial 16S ribosomal RNA". It matches the Rfam family "Bacterial small subunit ribosomal RNA", at positions 338 to 795 of the family's 1533-position model. The record is from RNAcentral.